Molecule: unclassified non-coding RNA, 1796 nt
Filed under: Hevea brasiliensis (rubber tree)
Lineage: Eukaryota; Viridiplantae; Streptophyta; Magnoliopsida; Malpighiales; Euphorbiaceae
Source: RNAcentral
AUGGUAGAUUUAUUUUUAUUUUAGACGAAUAAUUUUUACAGCAACCAGGUAAUGAGAAGUAUCAUAAAAGCAAGAUGUACACUAGAUUUCUACAGCAUAGGAAAAUAAAACUUCGGCACGUUUGUACCUCAUGGCUGUUUAGCCAAAAUCUUGGAGGGCAACCAAGUUAUAACGCGUUCCUUUAAAUGACGAUUCCACUUGGAAUCAAAGCAUCCUUGAUGACAGUGACAAUCCCACUCUUGAUGAAGUAUCCAUCUGUUUCCCUAGCCGCUUCUUGAACAUUGUCUUUGUUAAUGAUCUUCACAUUGUCCCCUAUACGAGCAUUCUUGUCGAUAAUGGCUCUUUUGAUGUGACAAUUCUUGCCGAUGCCAAUUGGGACACUGCCCUUUGCAGCCAGCAGCUUCCUGUCAGCAUCAGUCUCGUAGUAAUCUGCCCCCAUCAAAAGUGAGUCUUCUAUAAUUGCUCCCUCUGAUAUGCAUGAUCUGAGCCCAACCACGGAAUGGUGAAUCUUACAGUUCUUGAUCACACAACCUUCACCAAUGACACUAUCUGUGACAUCGGCAUCAAGCAUUUUUGAAGGUGGCAAAUAUCGAGGUUGGGUGUAGAUUGGGGCUGAUCGGUCGUAAAAGCUAAAAUCUGGCACCGGCUUUUUUGUAAUGCCCAAAUUGGCAUUGUAGAAAGCUUCAAUGGUACCAAUAUCUUCCCAGUACCCAUCAUAUAAAUAAGCUUGCACUCUCAUCCCAAAUGAAGUUGCACCAGGAAUAACUUCACUACCAAAAUCAUUGGCCCCAGGAAACUUGUCACGAAGUAGGUUUAACAUCACGUCUUUGCUAAUGACAUAUAUACCCAUACUGGCGAUAAAAGGCAUUUCUUUAGCUCUCUUGUCAUCAAGACCUAAAAUGGUAGUAUCCACUUUCAUUGCUUGCAAUUGCUCUCCUUGCGGUUUCUCUGCAAAUUCAAUAAUGCGUCCUUCUUCAUCAAUCUUCAUGAGACCGAAUGCAGUGGCACGCUUCUCGUCCAUUGGCAGUGCGGCAACGGUAAUAUCAGCAUCUGUUUCCCUGUGGGCUUGAAUAAACUUUUCAUAAUCCAUUCGAUACAGAUGAUCUCCAGCAAGUAUAAGGUAUUCAAGAACAUUAUGCUCCUCAAACAACCACAGAUAUUGUCUGACAGCGUCCGCAGUGCCCUGGAACCAAUCGGGGUUCUCCGGACUUUGUUGAGCAGCAAGAACUUCCACAAAGCCCUCGUUUUUGUAUCCUCCCAUAUUGCUAGCAUAUGCCCGUGAAAGGUGGCGAUUUAGAGAGGCAGAGUUGAAUUGUGUGAGAACAUAGAUCUUGGAUAUGUUACUGUUCAAGCAAUUGCUUACGGGAAUGUCAAUCAGACGAUAAUUUGCUCCAAGUGGAACCGCAGGUUUUGCUCUUUUUUUAGUUAGAGGAUAAAGUCGGGUCCCAGCUCCACCUCCAAGAAUAAUUCCCAAAACACUCCUGCUAGCAUCUGGGUCCAGACAUGUCUGUGAAUUCUGCGAAUCAGAAACAGCCUUAGGAGACACAAUCAAUGGACUUCUUCUCACAUUGAAUCGUACUCCUUGGGAACGUAAGGACGAUACAGGCAUCAACUUGUCUCCGGCGAGAUGAGAAGACGAAAAUGAGAGAUUUCUGCUGGAUAUUGCACGUGUAGAAUCAUUUCUUCUCUCAUUGAUGCAAUUGUGGGAAGAAGGUGAAGAUUUUAAGGCUCCAAUGGAAGCCGCCAUUGUUAACAAAGCUUGCUCUCAACUAUAGAUACUAUAGAGAGUGUGUGGU